This 425-nucleotide ribosomal RNA is filed under the name uncultured bacterium. Its description in RNAcentral is "partial 16S ribosomal RNA". It matches the Rfam family "Bacterial small subunit ribosomal RNA", at positions 354 to 796 of the family's 1533-position model. The record is from RNAcentral.
GUGGGGAAUCUUAGACAAUGGGCGCAAGCCUGAUCUAGCCAUGCCGCGUGAGCGAUGAAGGCCUUAGGGUUGUAAAGCUCUUUCGUGGGGGAAGAUAAUGACUGUACCCCAAGAAGAAGCCCUGGCUAACUCCGUGCCAGCAGCCGCGGUAAUACGGAGGGGGCUAGCGUUGUUCGGAAUUACUGGGCGUAAAGCGCACGUAGGCGGACUGGAAAGUCAGGGGUGAAAUCCCGGGGCUCAACCCCGGAACUGCCUUUGAAACUCCCAGUCUUGAGUUCGAGAGAGGUGAGUGGAAUUCCGAGUGGAGAGGUGAAAUUCGUAGAUAUUCGGAGGAACACCAGUGGCGAAUGCGGCUCACUGGCUCGAUACUGACGCUGAGGUGCGAAAGCGUGGGGAGCAAACAGGAUUAGAAACCCCAGUAGUCC